UCCCUACGGGAGGCAGCAGUGAGGAAUAUUGGUCAAUGGCCGAGAGGCUGAACCAGCCAAGUCGCGUGAGGGAAGACGGCCCUACGGGUUGUAAACCUCUUUUGUCGGGGAGCAAAGCGAGUCACGUGUGACUCAUUGAGAGUACCCGAAGAAAAAGCAUCGGCUAACUCCGUGCCAGCAGCCGCGGUAAUACGGAGGAUGCGAGCGUUAUCCGGAUUUAUUGGGUUUAAAGGGUGCGUAGGCGGAAUGCCAAGUCAGCGGUAAAAUCGCGGGGCUCAACCUCGCUCCGCCGUUGAAACUGGCGU
This 305-nucleotide ribosomal RNA is filed under the name uncultured bacterium. RNAcentral's name for it is "bacterial SSU rRNA". It matches the Rfam family "Bacterial small subunit ribosomal RNA", at positions 335 to 639 of the family's 1533-position model. The record is from RNAcentral.